Molecule: non-coding RNA, 636 nt
Organism: Cyanistes caeruleus (blue tit)
Lineage: Eukaryota; Metazoa; Chordata; Aves; Passeriformes; Paridae
Source: RefSeq, a predicted model, not a curated record
UGGAGGGCACCAGUCACCCAGGUGCACUCACUGCCACUCCAGCCUGAAGAAGAAUCUUCAGCAGUGUCAUGGGAGCUGUUCUGUCCUGACUUUCUUUGCAGAUGAACCUGAUGAUGAGGAUGAUCUGGAUUCCCAAUCCAUAUCAGUUACUGAACCUGAUGAUGAGGAAGAUUAUGAGAGUGUGUCUGCAGCAAGGAUUCUCCCAGAUCCUGAGCUGGAUUCUGCAAGCAAGCCUGGCUCACAUCACUGGGAUGCAGCUGGUACCACCAAACAAGCUAACAAUAUCUGGAGAAGCAUGAGAAGAGUUUUUUGCUGGGGAACACAGUGUUUGAUUAAGUUAAUGGCCAUUGUGGCUGGUGGAGCACUUUUCCUGAUGAUGUGCUGUGCCGGAAUCUGGUAUUGCCAGAAGAGAAAACGGAGUGCCUCUGCAGCUUCAGAAGACUGGCGAAAGACUUUGGUCACUGAGAAGCUGACCUGUCAUCCCCGUUCUUCACAUCUGUCCCCAUGUGCCAAGUUGCAUCUGCAUCCCCGUCUUGAGGGCUUCUCAAGACCCACACCUCCCAAGCGAGACCCUCUGCCCCUGAGCCCCCUGGCCCUGGUCCCUGACCAGGACUGAAAUUGGGCAGCCCCUGUGCA